GAUGAACGCUGGCGGCGUGCCUAAUACAUGCAAGUCGAGCGAACAGAUGAGGAGCUUGCUCCUCUGACGUUAGCGGCGGACGGGUGAGUAACACGUGGAUAACCUACCUAUAAGACUGGGAUAACUUCGGGAAACCAGAGCUAAUACCGGAUAAUAUAUUGAACCGCAUGGUUCAAUAGUGAAAGACGGUUUUGCUGUCACUUAUAGAUGGAUCCGCGCCGCAUUAGCUAGUUGGUAAGGUAACGGCUUACCAAGGCGACGAUGCGUAGCCGACCUGAGAGGGUGAUCGGCCACACUGGAACUGAGACACGGUCCAGACUCCUACGGGAGGCAGCAGUAGGGAAUCUUCCGCAAUGGGCGAAAGCCUGACGGAGCAACGCCGCGUGAGUGAUGAAGGUCUUCGGAUCGUAAAACUCUGUUAUUAGGGAAGAACAAAUGUGUAAGUAACUAUGCACGUCUUGACGGUACCUAAUCAGAAAGCCACGGCUAACUACGUG
This 497-nucleotide ribosomal RNA is filed under the name uncultured bacterium. RNAcentral's name for it is "partial 16S ribosomal RNA". It matches the Rfam family "Bacterial small subunit ribosomal RNA", at positions 28 to 507 of the family's 1533-position model. The record is from RNAcentral.